RNAcentral lists this long non-coding RNA (502 nucleotides) under Capsicum annuum. RNAcentral's name for it is "long non-coding RNA (CANN_LNC013891)". Lineage: Eukaryota; Viridiplantae; Streptophyta; Magnoliopsida; Solanales; Solanaceae. The record is from RNAcentral.
UUUGAAUAAGUAGCAACUUUGUUUGACAAGUCCAAAAAAAUAAUAUUCCAAAAGUAUUUGGUAGGAACUUUCUUUGACAAAGUAAGUGUGAAUCAAAGAAUAAACAAAAUCCACAUUAAAUCUCCACUUUGGCCUGAGUUUGGUUAAUAUAUUAAACUUGAUUCCUCUCCGCAAAAGCCCGUGUGGGCAAAAUCAUUCUUCACAAACGGCAAUCAAGCUCAAGCAAAGCUUGAACUUACUGACCGGAAGAGACUUUGUGAACAUGUCUGCAGGAUUGUCUCUAGUGUUGAUCUUCUGAACAGAGACCUUUCCUUCAAUAAUAGAUUCCUGAAUAAAAUGAUACUUGAUGUCAAUAUGCUUCGUCCUCUCAUGAUACAUUUGAUCUUUAGUCAAAUGGAUGGCACUCUGACUAUCACAGAAAAUGAUAAUUCCACCUUGGUGUGGACUGAGUUCAGCAAAUAGACCCUUCAACCAUAAGGCUUCUUUGAUAGCCUCGGUCACU